UACGUAGGUGGCGAGCGUUGUCCGGAUUUAUUGGGCGUAAAGCGCGCGCAGGCGGUCGCGUAAGUCUGCUGUGAAAUCUCCCUGGCUCAACCGGGAGGGGGCGGCGGAGACUGCGGGACUGGAGGGACCUAGAGGCCGGUGGAAUUCCCGGUGUAGCGGUGAAAUGCGUAGAUAUCGGAAGGAACACCUGUGGCGAAAGCGGCUCACUGGACCAUUACUGACGCUGAGGCACGAAAGCUAGGGGAGCAAACAGG
Molecule: ribosomal RNA, 254 nt
Filed under: uncultured bacterium
Lineage: Bacteria
Description: partial 16S ribosomal RNA
Rfam family: Bacterial small subunit ribosomal RNA
Source: RNAcentral